GACGAACGCUGGCGGCGUGCUUAACACAUGCAAGUCGAACGAAGAGCGAUGGAAGCUUGCUUCUAUCAAUCUUAGUGGCGAACGGGUGAGUAACGCGUAAUCAACCUGCCCUUCAGAGGGGGACAACAGUUGGAAACGACUGCUAAUGCCGCAUACGAUCUGACCUCGGCAUCGAGGAUAGAUGAAAGGUGGCCUCUAUUUAUAAGCUAUCACUGAAGGAGGGGAUUGCGUCUGAUUAGCUAGUUGGAGGGGUAACGGCCCACCAAGGCGAUGAUCAGUAGCCGGUCUGAGAGGAUGAACGGCCACAUUGGGACUGAGACACGGCCCAGACUCCUACGGGAGGCAGCAGUGGGGAAUCUUCCGCAAUGGACGAAAGUCUGACGGAGCAACGCCGCGUGAGUGAUGACGGCCGUCGGGUUGUAAAGCUCUGUUAAUCGGGACGAAAGGCCUUCUUGCGAAUAGUUAGAAGGAUUGACGGUACCGGAAGAGAAAGCCACGGCUAACUACGUG
This 510-nucleotide ribosomal RNA is filed under the name uncultured bacterium. Its description in RNAcentral is "partial 16S ribosomal RNA". It matches the Rfam family "Bacterial small subunit ribosomal RNA", at positions 28 to 507 of the family's 1533-position model. The record is from RNAcentral.